RNAcentral lists this transfer RNA (61 nucleotides) under Dipodomys ordii (Ord's kangaroo rat). It matches the Rfam family "tRNA". From Rfam's summary of the family: Transfer RNA (tRNA) molecules are approximately 80 nucleotides in length. Their secondary structure includes four short double-helical elements and three loops (D, anti-codon, and T loops). Lineage: Eukaryota; Metazoa; Chordata; Mammalia; Rodentia; Heteromyidae. The record is from Rfam by way of RNAcentral.
GCGGCUUAGUGGUAAAGCACUUGCCUUGUAUGCAUGAGGCCCUGGGUUCGAUUCCAAAGCA